Non-coding RNA from Brassica napus (rape), 124 nucleotides. The record is from Rfam. Lineage: Eukaryota; Viridiplantae; Streptophyta; Magnoliopsida; Brassicales; Brassicaceae.
GGAAGGUAAGAAACUUUUCUUAACUUUUAAUUAAAAAAGCUAAGAACCGGUUCUUAAAUAAAGACUUUAAGAACCGGUUCUUAGUUUUUUUAGUUAAAAGUUAAGAAACAGUUUCUUAACUUCC